ACCAUUUCUCAACCUUAAUCCAAAACUAGUUUUCUUUGAAUUUAAGUCAUAUAGAUCAUCCCUCUAUUUAAUCAUAUAGUUAAUCCCUCUAUGUAUGGAGAUUUUUUUUUUUUUUUUUUAAUUUUGUGUGAAAAUCUAUCAAAAUUGACAAUCUUUAUAAGACCGAAUAUGUAAAAAUGAGUAUUUAUAUGAUAAAAAUUUAAUAUAUAAGCGGACUUCUCCGGACAUAAAAAUGUCCAAGCGUUUACAAAUACUUGUCCACAUAUUAGAGUAUGGAACUGUC
RNAcentral lists this long non-coding RNA (283 nucleotides) under Capsella rubella. Its description in RNAcentral is "long non-coding RNA (CRUB_LNC001001)". Lineage: Eukaryota; Viridiplantae; Streptophyta; Magnoliopsida; Brassicales; Brassicaceae. The record is from RNAcentral.